GGGUUGUGAGGUUAAGCGACUAAGCGUACACGGUGGAUGCCCUGGCAGUCAGAGGCGAUGAAGGGCGUGCUAAUCUGCGAUAAGCGCCGGUAAGGUGAUAUGAACCGUUAUAACCGGCGAUACCCGAAUGGGGAAACCCAGUGUGACUCGUCACACUAUCAUUAACUGAAUCCAUAGGUUAAUGAGGCGAACCGGGGGAACUGAAACAUCUAAGUACCCCGAGGAAAAGAAAUCAACCGAGAUUCCCCCAGUAGCGGCGAGCGAACGGGGAGGAGCCCAGAGCCUGAAUCAGCAUGUGUGUUAGUGGAAGCGUCUGGAAAGGCGCGCGAUACAGGGUGACAGCCCCGUACACAAAAGCGCAUGUGCUGUGAGCUCGAUGAGUAGGGCGGGACACGUGGUAUCCUGUCUGAAUAUGGGGGGACCAUCCUCCAAGGCUAAAUACUCCUGACUGACCGAUAGUGAACCAGUACCGUGAGGGAAAGGCGAAAAGAACCCCGGCGAGGGGAGUGAAAAAGAACCUGAAACCGUGUACGUACAAGCAGUGGGAGCACCCUUUGGGUGUGACUGCGUACCUUUUGUAUAAUGGGUCAGCGACAUAUAUUCUGUAGCAAG
Molecule: ribosomal RNA, 612 nt
Filed under: Salmonella enterica subsp. enterica serovar Enteritidis
Lineage: Bacteria; Pseudomonadati; Pseudomonadota; Gammaproteobacteria; Enterobacterales; Enterobacteriaceae
Description: bacterial LSU rRNA
Rfam family: Bacterial large subunit ribosomal RNA
Source: RNAcentral